GACCGGGUAGUCUAGCUUGGUAUGAUACAUGCUUGGGGUGCAUGUGAUCCGGGGUUCAAUUCCCCGCUCGGUCACCA
RNAcentral lists this transfer RNA (77 nucleotides) under Candidatus Heimdallarchaeum endolithica. RNAcentral describes it as "tRNA-Pro". It matches the Rfam family "tRNA". From Rfam's summary of the family: Transfer RNA (tRNA) molecules are approximately 80 nucleotides in length. Lineage: Archaea; Promethearchaeati; Candidatus Heimdallarchaeota; Candidatus Heimdallarchaeia (ex Rinke et al. 2021) (nom. nud.); Candidatus Heimdallarchaeales; Candidatus Heimdallarchaeaceae. RNAcentral also lists the same sequence under 1 other name. The record is from RNAcentral.